UGACGGCUAAUUGUCGGCGAACCUUCGGCAGGAGCAUACAGCCCGUCAACUGACCAAUGGCACUGGAGAACGGAGUCGCCAGCAACCAAUUGGCUAUCAGGAGGAGGGACUUAAGACUCCACACACGGAAACAUGGGGGGAGCAGAGAGGCCAGAGAGGAGCAGCGGACAGGUGCUGCUAUAUCCAGCUGCUAUUGCCUCGAUGAUUGUGGAGCCCAGCAAAAUUAAAAUAAAGACGUGUU
Long non-coding RNA from Epinephelus lanceolatus (giant grouper), 241 nucleotides. RefSeq lists it as uncharacterized. Lineage: Eukaryota; Metazoa; Chordata; Actinopteri; Perciformes; Serranidae. The record is from RefSeq and is a predicted model, not a curated record.